RNAcentral lists this long non-coding RNA (337 nucleotides) under Oryctolagus cuniculus (rabbit). RNAcentral's name for it is "lncRNA (ENSOCUG00000030431.1)". Lineage: Eukaryota; Metazoa; Chordata; Mammalia; Lagomorpha; Leporidae. The record is from RNAcentral.
GAGAAUUCAGUGCUAAUAGUAUUUCAUCAUUGGAAGUAGCAGGGAACUAGAAUGUAUUUAUCAUUAAACUCUAACUGCAAGUAGAAUUUAUGGCUAGAAGUUUUUGUUUCUGCUAUGCUGUCCUCCACUAAUUACAAGAACAUUUUUACAUUUAGGAGACAUCAAUAAUCACUGGGCAGAGAGUUUAAGCAAACAAUCACAUUAAACAUUUUUAUGUUAGGGAUGAAACUAUUUUAAUAAUAAAAUAAAAAAAAAAUUUAAUAUAUGACAAAGUUAGUAUUUCUUUUCAUUGGUAAAGAAUGAUUUUUUCAUUUACAUCUAACCACUUAUUUAGCUC